UACGUAGGGUGCAAGCGUUAAUCGGAAUUACUGGGCGUAAAGCGUGCGCAGGCGGCUUUGCAAGACAGAUGUGAAAUCCCCGGGCUCAACCUGGGAACUGCAUUUGUGACUGCAUGGCUGGAGUACGGUAGAGGGGGAUGGAAUUCCGCGUGUAGCAGUGAAAUGCGUAGAUAUGCGGAGGAACACCGAUGGCGAAGGCAAUCCCCUGGACCUGUACUGACGCUCAUGCACGAAAGCGUGGGGAGCAAACAGG
Molecule: ribosomal RNA, 253 nt
Filed under: uncultured bacterium
Lineage: Bacteria
Description: partial 16S ribosomal RNA
Rfam family: Bacterial small subunit ribosomal RNA
Source: RNAcentral